This 253-nucleotide unclassified non-coding RNA is filed under the name uncultured Flavobacteriaceae bacterium. Its description in RNAcentral is "contains 16S-23S intergenic spacer region". It matches the Rfam family "Bacterial small subunit ribosomal RNA", at positions 524 to 776 of the family's 1533-position model. The record is from RNAcentral. Lineage: Bacteria; Pseudomonadati; Bacteroidota; Flavobacteriia; Flavobacteriales; Flavobacteriaceae.
UACUGAGGAUCCAAGCGGUAUCCGGAAUCAUUGGGUUUAAAGGGUCCGUAGGCGGUCUUAUAGGUCAGUGGUGAAAUCUCCUAGCUCAACUAGGAAACUGCCAUUGAUAUUGUAAGACUUGAAUUUUUGUGAAGUAACUAGAAUAUGUAGUGUAGCGGUGAAAUGCUUAGAUAUUACAUGGAAUACCAAUUGCGAAGGCAGGUUACUAGCAAACGAUUGACGCUGAUGGACGAAAGCGUGGGGAGCGAACAGG